This 77-nucleotide transfer RNA is filed under the name Candidatus Saccharibacteria bacterium RIFCSPHIGHO2_01_FULL_49_21. Its description in RNAcentral is "tRNA-Ala". It matches the Rfam family "tRNA". Rfam says of the family: Transfer RNA (tRNA) molecules are approximately 80 nucleotides in length. Their secondary structure includes four short double-helical elements and three loops (D, anti-codon, and T loops). Further hydrogen bonds mediate the characteristic L-shaped molecular structure. tRNAs have two regions of fundamental functional importance: the anti-codon, which is responsible for specific mRNA codon recognition, and the 3' end, to which the tRNAs corresponding amino acid is attached (by aminoacyl-tRNA synthetases). tRNAs cope with the degeneracy of the genetic code in two manners: having more than one tRNA (with a specific anti-codon) for a particular amino acid; and 'wobble' base-pairing, i.e. permitting non-standard base-pairing at the 3rd anti-codon position. Lineage: Bacteria; Candidatus Saccharimonadota. The record is from RNAcentral. RNAcentral also lists the same sequence under 2 other names.
GGGGUAUUAGCUCAGCUGGCUAGAGCGCUGCAUUCGCAUUGCAGAGGUCGGCGGUUCGACUCCGCCAUACUCCACCA